Sycon ciliatum is the source of this 199-nucleotide small nuclear RNA. RefSeq annotates it as U2 spliceosomal RNA. NCBI's taxonomy places the organism in Eukaryota, Metazoa, Porifera, Calcarea, Leucosolenida, Sycettidae. The transcript has a single exon. The record is from RefSeq and is a predicted model, not a curated record.
AAUGCUGCCGGUUGUAGCUGGGGUAUUUAGUGUUGGUAUGGGUGUGUUUGUUCUUAUCAGUUUGAUCGCUGAUAUGUUGACUAUAUGUCAACAUUCGAUCAAAUGUAUUUUUGCUCGUUGGAGAGUGGCUCGAAGCUUGCUUCACCCUCUCCAUGGAUCACCCUGGUAUUGCAGUUCUUCCAGGUGUGGUCCAUUUCCC